GACGUUCUCGGGAGCCGUCGUCCCCCAGCUCGCUUUAGUGCCCUUCUGCUUUCCGAAUCUAAUGUCCAUAAAGGACAAGAAUUUUCACUUGUUUUGCUCGCCGCUGUAUUCCUGGUGCCUAGCACAGUGCCACAGAGCGAGAGGGAAAGACUUCCGGCCUCCAGAACCGUGAGACAAUACAUUUCUGUUGCGGGAGCCACGAAGUGUGUUACAGCAGCUACAGGCAACUAAUACAGCGGUUAAAAGCAUGAAUUCCAGAAUCAGAAUGGCUGGCCACAAAUCUCCCAGCUUGGUGACGCAGGUGCACCAGGAGGGCACGAACUGAGGACCCAACGGUGGGAUUCCUUUCAUCCCAACCGGAGGACAAAAUACCUGUUUUUCUCCUCUCAGCCUAAUGCAGGGAUUUAUGUGACCUCCUCACUGGAGCCCAGGACACAACAUGUCUUUACAUAGAAAUAAACUUCACUUCCAUGAAUUCUCAGUGGCCUAGGGAUAUCACGAAGGGGUAUCUCUCCUUUCUGAAUCCUGAUGCCUCGUCUGCUUACUCAACAGCCAGCCAAAUUCACAACACCGGCCCGCCCCCCUCUUCCCUGGCCACCAGCUUCCUCGAUAAAAGAUCUGUUACUGUA
This is a long non-coding RNA of Lynx canadensis (Canada lynx), 629 nucleotides long. RefSeq lists it as uncharacterized. The record is from RefSeq and is a predicted model, not a curated record. Lineage: Eukaryota; Metazoa; Chordata; Mammalia; Carnivora; Felidae. The transcript is spliced from 4 exons.